Molecule: ribosomal RNA, 429 nt
Filed under: Chloroflexota bacterium
Lineage: Bacteria; Bacillati; Chloroflexota
Description: Chloroflexi bacterium partial 16S ribosomal RNA
Rfam family: Bacterial small subunit ribosomal RNA
Source: RNAcentral
UGGGGAAUAUUGCACAAUGGGCGCAAGCCUGAUGCAGCCAUGCCGCGUGUGUGAAGAAGGCCUUCGGGUUGUAAAGCACUUUCAGCGGGGAGGAAGGCGAUAAGGUUAAUAACCUUGUCGAUUGACGUUACCCGCAGAAGAAGCACCGGCUAACUCCGUGCCAGCAGCCGCGGUAAUACGGAGGGUGCAAGCGUUAAUCGGAAUUACUGGGCGUAAAGCGCACGCAGGCGGUCUGUCAAGUCGGAUGUGAAAUCCCCGGGCUCAACCUGGGAACUGCAUUCGAAACUGGCAGGCUAGAGUCUUGUAGAGGGGGGUAGAAUUCCAGGUGUAGCGGUGAAAUGCGUAGAGAUCUGGAGGAAGACCGGUGGCGAAGGCGGCCCCCUGGACAAAGACUGACGCUCAGGUGCGAAAGCGUGGGGAGCAAACAGG